AGGGAAUCUUCCGCAAUGGGCGAAAGCCUGACGGAGCAACGCCGCGUGAGUGAUGAAGGUUUUCGGAUCGUAAAGCUCUGUUGCCAGGGAAGAACGUCCUGUAGAGUAACUGCUACAGGAGUGACGGUACCUGAGAAGAAAGCCCCGGCUAACUACGUGCCAGCAGCCGCGGUAAUACGUAGGGGGCAAGCGUUGUCCGGAAUUAUUGGGCGUAAAGCGCGCGCAGGCGGCUGUUUAAGUCUGGGUUAUAAUCCUGGGGCUCAACUCCGGGUCGCACUGGAAACUGGAUGGCUUGAGUGCAGAAGAGGAGAGUGGAAUUCCACGUGUAGCGGUGAAAUGCGUAGAGAUGUGGAGGAACACCAGUGGCGAAGGCGACUCUCUGGGCUGUAACUGACGCUGAGGCGCGAAAGCGUGGGGAGCAAAC
RNAcentral lists this ribosomal RNA (424 nucleotides) under uncultured bacterium. Its description in RNAcentral is "bacterial SSU rRNA". It matches the Rfam family "Bacterial small subunit ribosomal RNA", at positions 356 to 773 of the family's 1533-position model. The record is from RNAcentral.